GUCUAUGGCCAUACCACCCUGAAUACAACUGAUCUCAUACAAUCUUGGAAACUAAGCAGGGUUGGGUCUGGUUAGUACUUGGAUGGGAGAAUGCAGAGAAGAGAAAAGGACCCUCAUGUACU
Molecule: ribosomal RNA, 122 nt
Filed under: Erinaceus europaeus (western European hedgehog)
Lineage: Eukaryota; Metazoa; Chordata; Mammalia; Eulipotyphla; Erinaceidae
Source: RNAcentral